GAUGAAGAACGUAGCGAAAUGCGAUAAGUAAUGUGAAUUGCAGAGUUCAGUGAAUCAUCGAAUCUUUGAACGCACAUUGCGCCCCUUGGUAUUCCGAGGGGCAUGCCUGUUCGAGCGUCAUUAUAACCCCUCAAGCUCAGCUUGGUGUUGGGGCCUGCUGCACUGGCAGCCCUUAAAAUCAGUGGCGGCGCCGUCUGGCUCUAAGCGUAGUAAUUCUUCUCGCUAUGGAGUCCUGGUGGAUGCUUGCCAUCAACCCCCAAUUUUUCUAUGGUUGACCUCGGAUCAGGUAGGGAUACCCGCUGAACUUAAGCAUAUCAAUAAGCGGAGGA
This 329-nucleotide unclassified non-coding RNA is filed under the name soil metagenome. Its description in RNAcentral is "partial contains 5.8S ribosomal RNA, internal transcribed spacer 2, and large subunit ribosomal RNA". The stretch from base 1 to 120 matches the Rfam family "5.8S ribosomal RNA", at positions 35 to 154 of the family's 154-position model. The record is from RNAcentral.